GUGGGGAAUCUUCCGCAAUGGACGAAAGUCUGACGGAGCAACGCCGCGUGAGUGAAGAAGGUUUUCGGAUCGUAAAGCUCUUUCGUUAGGGACGAACGUGCUCUUUGUGAAUAAUGAGAGAUAGUGACGGUACCUGAAUAAGAAGCCACGGCUAACUACGUGCCAGCAGCCGCGGUAAUACGUAGGUGGCAAGCGUUGUCCGGAAUUAUUGGGCGUAAAGCGCGCGCAGGCGGGAUAUCAAGUCUGUCUUAAAAGUGCGAGGCUCAACCUCGUGAGGGGACAGAAACUGGUAUUCUUGAGUGUCGGAGAGGAAAGUGGAAUUCCAAGUGUAGCGGUGAAAUGCGUAGAGAUUUGGAAGAACACCAGUGGCGAAGGCGACUUUCUGGACGAUGUCUGACGCUGAGGCGCGAAAGCUAGGGGAGCGAACGGGAUUAGAAACCCCUGUAGUCC
RNAcentral lists this ribosomal RNA (450 nucleotides) under uncultured bacterium. RNAcentral's name for it is "partial 16S ribosomal RNA". It matches the Rfam family "Bacterial small subunit ribosomal RNA", at positions 354 to 796 of the family's 1533-position model. The record is from RNAcentral.